UACGAAGGGUGCAAACGUUGCUCGGAAUCAUUGGGCGUAAAGCGCACGUAGGCGGCUUCGCAAGUCGGAUGUGAAAUCCCUCGGCUCAACCGAGGACGUGCAUCCGAAACUGCGGGGCUUGAGUACAGAAGAGGAUCGCGGAAUUCCCGGUGUAGAGGUGAAAUUCGUAGAUAUCGGGAGGAACACCAGUGGCGAAGGCGGCGAUCUGGGCUGAUACUGACGCUGAGGUGCGAAGGCGUGGUGAGCAAACAGG
Molecule: ribosomal RNA, 253 nt
Filed under: uncultured bacterium
Lineage: Bacteria
Description: partial 16S ribosomal RNA
Rfam family: Bacterial small subunit ribosomal RNA
Source: RNAcentral